RNAcentral lists this transfer RNA (90 nucleotides) under bacterium. RNAcentral's name for it is "tRNA-Ser". It matches the Rfam family "tRNA". From Rfam's summary of the family: Transfer RNA (tRNA) molecules are approximately 80 nucleotides in length. Their secondary structure includes four short double-helical elements and three loops (D, anti-codon, and T loops). RNAcentral also lists the same sequence under 1 other name. The record is from RNAcentral.
GGAGAGGUGCCGGAGCGGUCGAACGGGACGGUCUCGAAAACCGUUGAUCCAGCAAUGGAUCCCAGGGUUCGAAUCCCUGCCUCUCCGCCA